UAGUUAUCUUGAAUAGGGUGAGCUUGCUUUAUAUAGGUGCUAUAUAUUUUGUUUUUAACUUCAGUGGGGAGUUUAAAGGACAGAUUGUUCAGGUUAAAAGAAUUGUUACUGAUGAUAUCAGCUAGCGUUUACUAUUGUUCAUGUUUCAAAUUGUUCAGGUUAAAGGAAUUGUUACUGAUGAUAUCAGCUAGCGUUUGCUGUUGUUCAUAUUUCAUUAAAGGUCCUUGGAUUUGAGUUCUUAGUGGUUCUUUUGUUCCUAGCCAAUUAUCUUGCCAAGUUCUAAUUAGUUUUCUAUCCCCAAUUUCCCAAUGUAUGUCUGCUUUGCAGAUUUGAGAGCCCUGGACAAUAUUUUUUCAAAUAUGUGAGCCGUUACCCUAUUGGAUAUUCCAACUUUGUUUGGUGGUUUUUUGUCGUACCUACUAUGUAGC
This 428-nucleotide long non-coding RNA is filed under the name Nicotiana benthamiana. RNAcentral describes it as "long non-coding RNA (NBEN_LNC028465)". Lineage: Eukaryota; Viridiplantae; Streptophyta; Magnoliopsida; Solanales; Solanaceae. The record is from RNAcentral.